This 331-nucleotide ribosomal RNA is filed under the name uncultured bacterium. RNAcentral's name for it is "bacterial SSU rRNA". It matches the Rfam family "Bacterial small subunit ribosomal RNA", at positions 192 to 507 of the family's 1533-position model. The record is from RNAcentral.
ACCUACGGGUGAAAGUGGGGGACCUUCGGGCCUCACGCGAUGAGAUGAGCCGAUGCCGGAUUAGCUAGUUGGCGGGGUAAAGGCCCACCAAGGCGACGAUCCGUAGCUGGUCUGAGAGGAUGAUCAGCCACACUGGAACUGAGACACGGUCCAGACUCCUACGGGAGGCAGCAGUGGGGAAUAUUGGACAAUGGGGGCAACCCUGAUCCAGCCAUGCCGCGUGUGUGAAGAAGGCCUUCGGUUGUAAAGCACUUUGUUGGGAGAAACCGGCCGGGUUAAGUACCUUGGUUGAAUGACGGUACCCAAAGAAUAAGCACCGGCUAACUUCGUG